GGAAUUGUUCGCAAUGGGCGCAAGCCUGACGACGCAACGCCGCGUGGAGGAUGUAGAUCUUCGGGUCGUAAACUCCUUUCGACCGGGAUGAAUUUCCGCCGGCCCAAUACGCCGGCGGGGUGACAGUACCGGGAGAAGAAGCCCCGGCUAACUCCGUGCCAGCAGCCGCGGUAAUACGGGGGGGGCAAGCGUUGUUCGGAAUUACUGGGCGUAAAGGGUUCGUAGGUGGCCAACUCAGUCAGACGUGAAAUCCCUCAGCUCAACUGGGGAACUGCGUCUGAUACUGGUUGGCUUGAGUGCAGGAGAGGAAUGCGGAAUUCCAGGUGUAGCGGUGAAAUGCGUAGAUAUCUGGAGGAACACCGGUGGCGAAGGCGGCAUUCUGGACUGCAACUGACACUGAGGAACGAAAGCCAGGGGAGCAAAC
RNAcentral lists this ribosomal RNA (424 nucleotides) under uncultured bacterium. Its description in RNAcentral is "bacterial SSU rRNA". It matches the Rfam family "Bacterial small subunit ribosomal RNA", at positions 358 to 773 of the family's 1533-position model. The record is from RNAcentral.